Molecule: long non-coding RNA, 4871 nt
Organism: Gasterosteus aculeatus aculeatus (three-spined stickleback)
Lineage: Eukaryota; Metazoa; Chordata; Actinopteri; Perciformes; Gasterosteidae
Source: Ensembl
GGAUAAUAUCAUUUGUAAAGCUCCUCAUGUGACGUGAGCAUGAGCCGAUUUGAUUAGCGGCGCGGUGAUAAGGAUCCAGACAUCGAGUGUUUUCCGCUGGGUAACCUAGCAACCCAUUAGCCCGUAAACAGCGGGCUCUGACAUUCGUGGCGAGCUGAGAAGUUUGAACCGUCUAAUUGCUGACAUCAAAGCGGACUUUGGCGAGCCAUGUGACAUCACCCGGCGGUACGCUGGUCACACGCACGUGGUGUUGACCCAAGCUACAUAACCUCCAAGUACUCGAGGCCAAAACAACAGACCAGCCUGUGCUGAGCGCGGUCAAAGCAGCAUGACGCAGCUUUCUGCUGACCGGGCAUCACAGUCUUUACUUUGCCUGUGCAUAUUAUAAGACUCAUAAAGGCAAGCAAAUAUACAUAUAAAUAUAUAUAUAUAUACAUAUAUGUUCUAGAUUAGCUGAUCUUUAAGGAGAAGGAAUUGCUACACCUUACAGUUCCGCGUAAAUGAAAAAACUCAAAUAUAUUAAAUGACGGUUUGAUCCGGAUGGGGUUUUUUUUAUAUGCCUGUAAGCCUGCUGUCUUUCAAGGCAGGACCUUGAAAACACGAGUGUCUUGAAAAGGGCUUUUUCAGAGGCACAAGGUCUCUCUCUCUCUCUGCCCUGUUUUUUUGUGGUGCGGAGAAAAGCGGUUAUGGAAGAAGGAACGCUCCGGCUUUCUAGCAGAAAGUCACAUAUUUCUAAAUGAAAGGCCUUUCGCAACAAGGAUGCAAUCAUGUUUCUCUGAAAGGGCUGUCUGCCCUUUGGCCUCGGAUGUCUCUUAUAGGCAAGCAAGGGAAGCAAAGGAGAGGGAACAAAUGAGAACAGCCGUAAUGACAAACUUUUUCUAUACCUCACCCAUUCGUGCUAAUACGGAACCUCUAUCUCUCCUGCUCCCCUUCCAGGCCGUGUCAACGUUUACUCAUUAUCUAUCCAACCAUCCAUCCAUCUCGGGUAUUUGAGUAGGAAUUAGCUGGUAUUGCCAAAGCAUUGUUUCCCACGCAGCACUUUGGGUGGUUAACAGAGGAGCGUAGGAGUAGUUUCGAUCCGUCAGGUAGGUCAGGUUUCUCUUAACACGUCUACAUACCUGUGUGAAACUGUUUGGGUGCGUUUUGGAUGUGUGUGUGUGUGUGUGUGUGUGUGUGUGUGUGUGUGUGUGUGUGUGUGUGUGUGUGUGUGUGUGUGUGUGUGUGUGUGUGUGUGUGUGUGUGAGUGUGUGUGUGUGUGUGUGCUCGUAUUGAGACACUUAAGACGGAGGUGAGGAAUCCGAUUGUUCUGGAUGUGGCAGGUGAACACAGCGAGGCAGCCAAUCAGGUUUCUCCUUCUUCUCCAGCAACAUGUUAGAAGGUUCUCCCCGUGUAGAAGGUGCUCAGUGAGUCUCAUGGACAGAAAAAAUACACGCAAUGUAGAGCAACGUGAAGCAAUGUAGAACAACAUGAAACAAUGUAGAACAACGUGAAGCAAUGUAGAGCAAUGUGAAGCAAUGUAGAGCAACGUGAAGCAAUGUAGAGCAACGCUAAACAAUGUAGAGCAACGUGAAGCAAUGUAGAGCAACGUAAAGCAAUGUAGAGCAACGUGAAGCAAUGUAGAGCAAUGCAAAGCAACGUAGAGCAACGUGAAGCAAUGUAGAGCAAUGUAAAGCAAUGUAGAGCAACAUGAAACAAUGUAGAGCAAUGUGAAGCAAUGCAGAGCAACGUGAAGCUAUGUAGAGCAAUGUGAAACAAUGUAGAGCAACGUGAAACAAUAUAGAGCAGUGUGAAGCAAUGUGAAGCAAUGUGAAGCAAUGUAGAGCAACGCGAAACAAUGUAGAGCAAUGUGAAGCAAUGUGAAGCCGGCUUUUUGGAAACUCCUCCGCCUUCAAAGCGAACCUGGUCUGAUAAUCGAAGGUGGAGUUCGCAGCUGAGGGCCUCGUUACGCCGGGCAAUUAAAACGCUUUGCAAUGAUUAACUAAAUGUGGCGUUGACAAUGACACAGUUGAGAACCCCUUUUACUUUCUCGAGGGGACAACAAAGUAGAGAAAAUACCAAAAGGUGAGUUGAGUCGAGCCGGACCGCGCAGUGAAUACGAGGCAUACGUGGUCAGAAUCCAGAGAAUUAUUCACACACUUCCUACCCCAUACUUGCACAAGGAAAGGUCAAUAAACUCAGAAUAAUGGAUGCUGUUAGCAUAUUAAUACCCAUGUGGGUGUAACACGUCGAUGUCCAUAUGCUUAGUAUACAUUAACUGCAGCCACUUGUAGUUAAAAGGCUCCCAUUUCCGUGGGACUAUUUAGCAGCUGAGUGGAGGAAACGCCGGCGCGGACGGUAUUAACGUGUGACGUAGGCAGCGGCGAGAGUGUUGCGUCUCUUCUCUCGUUCGCAGUAAGUCGACUUUUCUUUAUGUUCCAGCUCCUGCGAGGAAACGGACAGAAUGUGGAAGCUCAUUAAAUGUCCUCGCUCGGUCUGAGCACCUGCAGUCGGCCAGACGCUCUCUCAGGCUCCCACACUCACACAGACCAACACGCACACGCACAAGCUUGCUACUUGGAAGCCGCUAUUUUGCACUUAAAAGUCUGAAUUCCCUUUGCUGUAAAUUAUCACAUUUUUUUCAGAUAACUUUAGCAAUGCAAGUUUUUUAUUUCAUGUGCAUGUGGAAAGUCGACGGCGCUCCUUUUCACUGGAUGAAACAAAUCUAUCAACAUGGACACUUUUUGUUGUUGCACAGUACAGUACGUACACCUAUACGCACACACACUCUGUUUAAUCCCUUUCAUUGCGGGUGGCUGUGCGGGCGGAUGCUGUUUAAACAGAGCGGGCCCUCAAUGUGGGGCCUUCGGGGGCCCGGGGGUUUGCGCGUGUGUCUUUCACCCUGGAUGUGUAUGUGUGCCUCGCCGAGUUUUCUGGCCAUGGGAACAAUGGUCCUUUAGAAUGUGAGGUUACUGGUGCGCUGACCCCUGGCAAAUAAGAGCCAUGUUCUGGCAUUCCGGGCCUGAUUGGCACUUUGAGCCUGCCGAGAGCUCAAAGGAGACACAGGAAAUGUGACCGGUGUAAUUGGUUAUAUAUUAGCGGAGCAUUCGCCGCUGUUUAAAUGAUGGAACAUUCUUCAGUGACACUUAGGUGGACGGGGAUGGGAUUCCACCAGCCAGAGGGAGAGAGGGGGGAGGACAAAAAAGGGGUUGAAGAGGAGGGGGGGGGGGGUAAGAAAGGCAAGGUGAGUGGAAAAGAAGGUACAGAGGGCAAAGGGACGUGGAAAGAUUUGUUCCAAACUGAUUCAGAGAAGUGGGAGCUUUCAUGCAGAAAAGGGGCGUCGCGGAGAAAGUGUCGGGGAGGGGAGGGGGGGGGGGCGCCGCCUCCCAUGUGCUCGUUGUGCAUUUACCCCCCCCGCGGUGGCGGACGGGGCUGCCGGGUCACAUGUUCAGCGCCCUCCCUCUGGAGCGUGGCGAGCAGCGAGGGCUCCGUGCGGGGAGUGCGGUUGCGGGCAAAUCAGUAGCUUGACCUUUGACCUUUCGGGGUGCUCGGGCUCAGUUGGUGGAGGCUUCGUCCCGCGGUGCCUCCUGUGCGACGUGUUUCACGACCAUCGUGUUUGCUUCCCCCUUCUGCAGAAAACCCAUUUGCGCGUAAAAUGUAUCUUUUCAAACCGGAGCAGCUCCUGUGUAAGUGGAUGGAAAGCUGGUGCGCAUAGAUCUCCAGCCCGGGGGCCGGAAGAAUGAGGUGUUACCUCCAGGGGAAGCUUCAGAGGCAGCAUUCCUAGCUUAUACAAAGAAUUUAGGAAUGCGAUGGGCACCGAUGGGUGCUAAUGUCUUCACUGAGGAGAUCUUAUCUAGGCCCUGCCCAUUGUAAACAAAGUGAUUAUUAGGGAAGUUUAGAUAACAUUAGUCUGGCCGAGACCCCUUUUAGCGCAGCGUUGGGACACACACACACACACACACACACACACACACACACACAUUGUACAUGCACACCAUGGUAUGUGGCCUUUGGGUAAAUAGAAGACGGAGAUCUUCUUAAACUAAGACUGUCAGUUUGUGUCGGUCGGGCCAAUAAAUCCUAUGGGAAGCAGGAGAACGUUGUGAAAAUGUACCACCCACUCCCAUCAGCGCGGAGACCGCCUUUGGGUUGGCUGAAGUUCCCAACGAGAAGAUGACAGCGGCGACACAGUUGGAGACCAUGUGGACCAUUCAAAUUCACUUUUAGUUAUUUUUGGGAAGGCAGAGAGAGAGCACUGCUAGUAAGGGAUUAAUUAACAGAAACCAUCCCGGUUAAAUGUGUGUUACAAUUAUCUUGGAAUCACACAAAGAACAUUUUGUAAACGCAGUGCAGCAAAGCGGUGUAACUGCAUUCAGCACCAUCAGCCUCCAUCCGUCAACAUCCUCACACCUCGAUGUGUUUCCCAGCAUGCUCAGCGUGCAUGCGCCUCUAUUUCCACUGCCUGCACAAGCAAGCUCACUUCAACCGUUCCACCACAUAUUUCCUCCUUACUCCAAACAUUGUCCUCAUGCGCAGCGUGACUCUCUCCCGAGCUAUUUCCUAUAUCUGCUCGCCGGCGUGCACACGCGCCCUCGCGCCCGUCCUGGUGUGUGUGUGUGUGUGUGUGGCUGCGAGGAGGGCGAGUUGAUUCAUAUCCUGGGUUGGUAGCCGGGAGAACCGAAGAGCAUUCCAGCGCAUUCCAUGCUGAGGUGAGCAGCGGGGCGGAGGGGAAGACGCAGGCAAGUCUGUGGAUGUCAGUGACUCAGACCUCUCGGGAUCAUCUGUCCUUCUUGAAGGAGGCCGCCACGGGUUGGAGCCGCCCGGAGGCUCGGGCUGAAUUUUCACAAUUCCUUUCCCGUAGACCCUCCAGGUGGGACCGUAUUUCAGGUGGGGGU